This 504-nucleotide ribosomal RNA is filed under the name uncultured bacterium. RNAcentral describes it as "partial 16S ribosomal RNA". It matches the Rfam family "Bacterial small subunit ribosomal RNA", at positions 29 to 523 of the family's 1533-position model. The record is from RNAcentral.
AACGAACGCUGGCGGCGCGUCUUAAGCAUGCAAGUCGGACGGCAAGGGUAGCAAUACCCCUAGAGUGGCGGACUGGUGAGUAACGCGUGGGUGACCUACCCUCGAGAUGGGGAUAGCCAUUAGAAAUAGUGGAUAAUACCGAAUACGCUCGUGACCCUGUGGGGAUACGAGGAAAUCAGGCUACGGCCUGGCUCGAGGAUGGGCCCGCGUCCCAUUAGCUAGUUGGUGAGGUAACGGCCCACCAAGGCGACGAUGGGUAUCCGGCCUGAGAGGGUGUACGGACACAUUGGGACUGAGAUACGGCCCAAACUCCUACGGGAGGCAGCAGCUAAGAAUAUUCCGCAAUGGACGAGAGUCUGACGGAGCGACGCCGCGUGGAUGAAGAAGGCCGAAAGGUUGUAAAAUCCUUUUGCUGAUGAAGAAUAAGUGGUGUAGGGAAUGACAUCAUGAUGACAUUAGUCGGUGAAUAAGCCCCGGCUAACUACGUGCCAGCCGCCGCAGUAA